Molecule: ribosomal RNA, 505 nt
Filed under: uncultured bacterium
Lineage: Bacteria
Description: bacterial SSU rRNA
Rfam family: Bacterial small subunit ribosomal RNA
Source: RNAcentral
UGGCUCAGAUUGAACGCUGGCGGCAGGCUUAACACAUGCAAGUCGAGCGGGGAAAGGUAGCUUGCUACUGGACCUAGCGGCGGACGGGUGAGUAAUGCUUAGGAAUCUGCCUAUUAGUGGGGGACAACAUUCCGAAAGGAAUGCUAAUACCGCAUACGCCCUACGGGGGAAAGCAGGGGAUCUUCGGACCUUGCGCUAAUAGAUGAGCCUAAGUCGGAUUAGCUAGUUGGUGGGGUAAAGGCCUACCAAGGCGACGAUCUGUAGCGGGUCUGAGAGGAUGAUCCGCCACACUGGGACUGAGACACGGCCCAGACUCCUACGGGAGGCAGCAGUGGGGAAUAUUGGACAAUGGGCGGAAGCCUGAUCCAGCCAUGCCGCGUGUGUUGAAGAAGGCCUUUUGGUUGUAAAGCACUUUAAGCGAGGAGGAGGCUCCUUUAGUUAAUACCUAAAGUGAGUGGACGUUACUCGCAGAAUAAGCACCGGCUAACUCUGUGCCAGCCGCAGC